Molecule: ribosomal RNA, 332 nt
Filed under: uncultured bacterium
Lineage: Bacteria
Description: bacterial SSU rRNA
Rfam family: Bacterial small subunit ribosomal RNA
Source: RNAcentral
CGUGUAGGCGGUUCGUUAAGUCGGGUGUGAAAGCCCGGGGCUCAGCUCCGGAAGUGCGCCCGAAACUGGCGAGCUGGAGCGCGGUAGAGGAGGGUGGAAUUCCUGGUGUAGCGGUGAAAUGCGUAGAUAUCAGGAGGAACACCGGCGGCGAAGGCGGCCCUCUGGACCGUUGCUGACGCUGAGACGCGAAAGCGUGGGGAGCAAACAGGAUUAGAUACCCUGGUAGUCCACGCUGUAAACGACGGGUACUAGGUGUUCAGGGUGUUGACCCCCUGAGUGCCGACGCUAACGCAUUAAGUACCCCGCCUGGGGACUACGGCCGCAAGGUUAAA